Oreochromis niloticus (Nile tilapia) is the source of this 2259-nucleotide long non-coding RNA. RefSeq lists it as uncharacterized. Lineage: Eukaryota; Metazoa; Chordata; Actinopteri; Cichliformes; Cichlidae. The transcript is spliced from 2 exons. The record is from RefSeq and is a predicted model, not a curated record.
CAUCCCAUAAGAGCACUCAGUUUCAUAACAAGAAACCGAGGGUUCUUCAUGUCUGGUUCAGACAUGAAAUUAACCAAAACAUUGGUCCAACUCAUGCAUUUGCCACAACAAAGAAGGCAGAUGUUGUAAAUUCUCCUCAGCAUCAACUCCACAUGCCAUCGUCCCUAUUCUUCAUCUCAUCACUUGGCAUAUAUAAUCUCUGGUUGUACUGUGGCUUUUUGGGGCAGGGAGACAGAGUGAACUAUAAAGGGUUUUAUACAAGCUGAGGAGUGGAGUUAAACUGGAAGGCAGUCUGCAUGUUUGUAUGGAAACAAUUCUUUCAUGAGUUGCAAUUCUGUUUGAUUCCAGAUGUAAAAAGCCACAGGGAGAGAAAGAUGCAUAUCAGUCUUGACACCUAAAUCCAGGAUGAUGCUGCACUUGAAGUGCUAUCCUAACCUCACCGAAAAGACUACAUUUAGCAAAAGUAUUCUCUGUGCAUUUCUUUUCCUAAGCAAUAAUGAUUCUGAACAAGCAGGAUAGAAAUUCUUCCAGUUAUAUUAAAGGAUCCACAUACUUUUUUGGGGAAGAAAAGUGAGUUAGGUAACUUUAAACUUUGCAUAUUUGUUGGUGUAAGACAGGCUGGUCUGAGUAUUUCAGAAACUGUUGAUCUGCUAGGAUUUUCCCACACAACCAUCUCUGGGGAUUAAAAAGAGGAACAUAUGCAGUGAGCAGCAGUCCUUUGAGUAAAAAUGCCUUGUUGAUGUCAGAGGAGAAUGGCGAGACUGCUUCAAGAUAAUAGGAAAGCAGAAAUAACUCAAAUAACCACUCAUAUCAACCAAGGUGUGUAGAAAGACAUCUCUGAAUAACACAUUGAAUCCUGUAGCAGAUGGUCUACAACAGCAGAAGACUACAUCAGGUCCCACUCCUGUCAACUAAGACAGCACAGGCUCACCAAAAUUGGAAAUUAGAAGACUGGAAAAACAAUAUGAGCAACAUUCAGAAGGGAAGCACGUUUUCUUUCUGGCUGCUUCUCUGUGGUCUGACCAGGAACUAACUCAUCCUUAUUCUAGAAAGUGAACCACAACAUGUGGCAACAGAGCCCACAAACAUGAGCUCAUUCCUCUUGAGGGGAAACUAGCAACUGAAAAAACAGAGAUAGAAAGAGAGAAAGUCCCAGUGUUCCUCUCCACAUCCAUUUGUCUUUGGACUACAUUCCUGCUCCUCUUCCUCAAAUGAAAUGGUUAUCCCUGCAAACAAUGAGAAGACUGAGCUGCAGGAGCAUCUGCAGCAUGUGAAGUGGGACAUGAAACAAAAAUUGGCUCACAAGGUCGAGGUCAACUUCAGCAUCAGCACAUUCUUUGAGCCAAGGCGUUGGAGAGAAAGCAGGCGCGAACUGAAAAUGGCCCUAGUCUCUUCCUAACAUGCUUUUAUUUCCCACAUACUUCGUGAUCAGCAGGCCUCAGUAUGUUAUCAGGUAAUACUGAGACAAACAGCUGCUUACGUGCUGAAAUGUGGAUGUAUUAUUUGAGAAAAGCAUUACACAUGAAUCAGAAGAACAAUACAUUUUGACCAAUAGGCUAACAAUUAAAGUAAACUCAUCAGUAUUAAAAAUACAGCUGGAAAGGUGAACUGUUCCUACUUUAAGAGCAAGUGCAAGUGCAGGCAGAUAUGUUGCAAAAUGUAUUUACCAUCAUAAUUAAAUACAAAAAAGAAUGUGCAGAAAAAUCUGAACUCUAAACUCACACCUAUGAUAUUAAUUUAAAAAUCAUAGUUGACCUUUUCGAGUUAUUGUAACAAAAAAAGGAAAAAAGUCUUUUCUGUGGCUAAGUCCUCAAUUUUCCUUUAUUCCUUGUAAUGUUGUCAGUCUCCAUAUGAGUCACGUUGACCACGUGCUGUGUGCUUCAUGCUUUGCUCUGGAAUGUCAGGUUUCAAAUAGCAUGUACCCGAUAUUGCCUUGCCAUGCCAUGCCAGAGAUAUAAGAUUGUGUGUAACUGUAAAAUCAAAUGACUAUUAUUUAUUUGCAAUAAAAUAACAUAAAACACACACCAAAGUACACACAGGACUUUUUAUUAGUAAGUUACAAUGCGGACACAUGCACUGCCAAGGACAUUUAAAAAAAAAUAAUACUAUGACAUUUCAUCAUGUUUCAGUUAAACAAGUUAAGAAUCAAGCAGUUAAGUAAGAAAAGAUUUUUUCUGUUUAUAACAAUUAGAACAUGUAUGAUUGAACACAGAAGAAACAUGCACUUUACUGCACUGCAACAUAGAAAAUUAUCCUAAG